ACUCAAAGGAAUUGACGGGGAGUCGCACAAGCAGUGGAGCAUGUGGUUUAAUUCGAUGGUAAGCGAAAAACCUUACCGAGGCUUGACAUCCUGCGAAGACCGCCGAAAGGUGGUUGUGCCUUCGGGAACGCAGUGACAGGUGCUGCAUGGCCGUCGUCAGCUCGUGUCGUGAGAUGUUGGGUUAAGUCCCGCAACGAGCGCAACCCUUGUCGUGUGUUACAUUUUCACACGAGACUGCCUGGGCAACCGGGAGGAAGGUGAGGAUGACGCCUGGUCAGCAUGGCCCUUACGCCUCGGGCUACACACGUGCUACAAUGGCCAUCACAGAGGGUUUGCCAAGCCGUAAGGUGGAGCUAAUCCCAUCAAAAGUGGUCUCAGUUCGGAUUGAGGGCUGAAACUCGCCCUCAUGAAGCCGGAAUUGCUAGUAAUGGCGCAUCAGCAUUGGCGCCGUGAAUACGUUCCCGACUCUUGUACACACCGCCCGU
Molecule: ribosomal RNA, 485 nt
Filed under: uncultured bacterium
Lineage: Bacteria
Description: partial 16S ribosomal RNA
Rfam family: Bacterial small subunit ribosomal RNA
Source: RNAcentral